CGCCAGACCCGAUAAAGGGUUUUUGCGCACGAUGUAAGGACUGAGAUUUUUGACAGUGCAACUAAACUCUCUGUUGAUGAUGUUUAUGUGUGUAAUUUAAUUAUAUAAGCACUCGUCAAGUUUCAGGAGAAACUGAGCUAAAAUGGAGAAGAUACGCGAUUUUUUAGUUUUCACUUAAGUGAAUAGUAACUUCGGUUUUCCGGAGA
RNAcentral lists this long non-coding RNA (206 nucleotides) under Ananas comosus (pineapple). RNAcentral's name for it is "long non-coding RNA (ACOM_LNC041155)". Lineage: Eukaryota; Viridiplantae; Streptophyta; Magnoliopsida; Poales; Bromeliaceae. The record is from RNAcentral.